UACGGAGGGGGCUAGCGUUGUUCGGAAUUACUGGGCGUAAAGCGCACGUAGGCGGCUUUGCAAGUCAGAGGUGAAAGCCCGGGGCUCAACCCCGGAAUUGCCUUUGAGACUGCAUCGCUAGAAUUGUGGAGAGGUAAGUGGAAUUCCGAGUGUAGAGGUGAAAUUCGUAGAUAUUCGGAAGAACACCAGUGGCGAAGGCGGCUCACUGGCCCGGUACUGACGCUGAGGUGCGAAAGCGUGGGGAGCAAACAGG
This 253-nucleotide ribosomal RNA is filed under the name uncultured bacterium. Its description in RNAcentral is "partial 16S ribosomal RNA". It matches the Rfam family "Bacterial small subunit ribosomal RNA", at positions 524 to 776 of the family's 1533-position model. The record is from RNAcentral.